RNAcentral lists this ribosomal RNA (252 nucleotides) under uncultured bacterium. Its description in RNAcentral is "partial 16S ribosomal RNA". It matches the Rfam family "Bacterial small subunit ribosomal RNA", at positions 524 to 776 of the family's 1533-position model. The record is from RNAcentral.
UACGAAGGGGGCUAGCGUUGUUCGGAAUUACUGGGCGUAAAGCGCACGUAGGCGGAUAUUUAAGUCAGGGGUGAAAUCCCAGAGCUCAACUCUGGAACUGCCUUUGAUACUGGGUAUCUUGAGUAUGGAAGAGGUAAGUGGAAUUGCGAGUGUAGAGGUGAAAUUCGUAGAUAUUCGCAGGAACACCAGUGGCGAAGGCGGCUUACUGGUCCUAACUGACGCUGAGGUGCGAAAGCGUGGGGAGCAAACAGG